Molecule: ribosomal RNA, 465 nt
Filed under: Vreelandella stevensii
Lineage: Bacteria; Pseudomonadati; Pseudomonadota; Gammaproteobacteria; Oceanospirillales; Halomonadaceae
Description: partial 16S ribosomal RNA
Rfam family: Bacterial small subunit ribosomal RNA
Source: RNAcentral
CCUACGGGGGGCAGCAGUGGGGAAUAUUGGACAAUGGGGGCAACCCUGAUCCAGCCAUGCCGCGUGUGUGAAGAAGGCCCUCGGGUUGUAAAGCACUGUCAGUGAGGAAGAACGCCUGGUGGUUAAUACCCAUCAGGAAAGACAUCACUCACAGAAGAAGCACCGGCUAACUCCGUGCCAGCAGCCGCGGUAAUACGGAGGGUGCGAGCGUUAAUCGGAAUUACUGGGCGUAAAGCGCGCGUAGGUGGCUUGAUAAGCCGGUUGUGAAAGCCCCGGGCUCAACCUGGGAACGGCAUCCGGAACUGUCAAGCUAGAGUGCAGGAGAGGAAGGUAGAAUUCCCGGUGUAGCGGUGAAAUGCGUAGAGAUCGGGAGGAAUACCAGUGGCGAAGGCGGCCUUCUGGACUGACACUGACACUGAGGUGCGAAAGCGUGGGUAGCAAACAGGAUUAGAUACCCUAGUAGUC